AAUAAAUUAAAUUACCGAGCAAUAUAUCAUUUUUAUAUAAAACACGUAAUAAAAAUUCACUAUAAAUAAUUAAUUACUGUAGACAGGCAACGCGAAGAAAGUAAUAAUAGUACUUAAUAAAUAAACUGUAUUAAUUUUUCGCUUUAAUUAAAGACCGCGCAUGAAAUGAGUUUUUUAAAGCCCAUCCAAGUGGUAUAGACAAAAUUUCACUUUUUAUUAUUAUAUGAAGCCAACAACCGGGACGUCCCUUGGAAUAUUGUUGCGUGUCUACAAGUUUGAUACCAACGCUGAAACUCAUGAAAUUGUAGGAAAGUAUAUUAUUGCGUUACACAUUAUUAUUACGUUCGUUCAGUUAUGCAAAAUGAAAAAAAAAAUAUAUUUAACCAGAAGAAAGUUACUAGCCACUAAGUAUCGCGUCCAAGACGUUGGCAAAAAAUAAACAGAGUCCUGGGAGCAAAGCACCGUUUUAAUAUUACUCAAUGGACUGUUUAAUUGUUGAGCUGGAGAAAUGCACGCAUUUCCUUUAAUUAUUUCUGGCUUAUGUUAUGAUUUAUGAUUUAUGAUUGAGAAGAUUAUAAAAGAUAAUGCAAAAGAAGUUAAGUGAAUUAUGAAUGAUAAGCCAGAUAUCAUCUUGUUAACAAAACCGUGUCUUUUAGAUU
This is a long non-coding RNA of Cotesia glomerata, 659 nucleotides long. RefSeq lists it as uncharacterized. Lineage: Eukaryota; Metazoa; Arthropoda; Insecta; Hymenoptera; Braconidae. The record is from RefSeq and is a predicted model, not a curated record. The transcript has 3 exons.